This is a long non-coding RNA of Carassius gibelio (silver crucian carp), 8683 nucleotides long. RefSeq lists it as uncharacterized. The record is from RefSeq and is a predicted model, not a curated record. NCBI's taxonomy places the organism in Eukaryota, Metazoa, Chordata, Actinopteri, Cypriniformes, Cyprinidae. The transcript is spliced from 3 exons.
CCUAAUAAUAAUAAUAAGAACGCCAACAAAAACAAGAGGGUCCUACGCACCUUCGGUGCUUGGCCCCUAAUAAGAAGAAGAACGCCAACAAAAACAAGAGGGUCCUACGCACCUUCGGUGCUUGGCCCCUAAUAAUUAAAGCUGCAAGCAGCGAUGAACGGGCCCUCGCACCCGGGCUCACCGCCAUCGUGUGGCUUUAGUAAAAAGGUGAACGUUGAGAAAUAUGCAUUUAAACUCAUAAAUAUAAGUGCAAUAUAUCAAAGUUUAUUCCAUAUGUGUGCCAAUCUUCCUGUUGCCAGCAGGUGGCGCUAUCGUUAUAAUGGAAUAUUGGCCUUCAGAUGUGUUCAAGCCAGGACCCUUAUCACACAUGUGAAGUUUGGGCAAGAUCGGACAUUUUAUGCCUGAGUUAUAACAUCUUUUAUUCCCAUGGCGAGACAUCGAACUUCGUCAUGGCGACAUGGACAUGCCUUUUAACAAGAACUCAAGAUCUUCACAAGUAACCAUCACACAGGUCUUUAGAUUAGACUGACCACAAAAAAGACAUUGAUGUCAUAAAAUUUCUAGGAGUAGUUUGUCACAGAGUAAAAUAUGUCACUUCCAGUUGCCAAUAGGUGGCGCUAUGACUAUAACUGAAUAUUGGCAUGUAGAUCUGUUCAGGUGUAGAGUCUUAUCAAAAAUGUGAAGUUUGGGGCGGAUUGGACAUUGUAUGUGUGAGUUAUAGCACCAUCAUUUUUCAUGGCGAAUCAUCGAAAUUUGUCAGGCCGCCAUGGACACGCCCUUUAACGAAACCUCAAUUCCUUCGCAAUUUAACAUGGCAAAGGGCUUUAGAUUACACUGACCAAGUUUGGUGUUGAUCUGAAUAAAUCUCUAGGAGGAGUUCGUUAAAAUACAACCCCUGAAAAUGACAAAAACAACACCAAUUUUGCAGGGAAAAUUAAAAAUAACCGACUUCGUGUUGGGAUUCGGGGUUCGUACCAAGAGACUUUUUUGUAGCUAUUGGUGUGUUACAUAUGUUUACCGAUUUUCGUACAUGUAUAUGACAUGUAGCUCGAGGCGCACUCCAUUGAAAAUGUAUAGGUGGCGCUAUCGAGCCAUUUUGCCACACCCAAUGGAAUAUUAGCCUCCAGAUGUGUUCAGGUCAGGACUCUUAUCAAACAUUUGAAGUUUGGGCAAGAUCUGAUAUUUUAUGACUGAGUUACAACAACUUCUACUCCCAUGGCGAGACAUCGAACUUUGACAUGGCGCCAUGGACACGCCCUUUAACGAAAACUCAAGAUCUUCUCAAUUUAACAUCGUACAGGCCUUUAGAUUAGACUGACGACAAAAAAGACAUUGAUGUCAAAAAUUUCUAGGAGUAGUUUGUCGCAGCGUAAAAUAUGUCACUUCCUGUUGCCAAUAGGUGGCGCUAUGACUAUAACUGAAUAUGGUCGUGUCAAACUGUUCAGGACAGGAGUCUCAUCAAACAUGUGAAGUUUGGGGCAGAUUGGACAUUGUAUGUCUGAGUUAUAGCAACUUCCUGUUUCAUGGCGAAUCAUCGAAAUUCGCCAGACCGCCACACACAGGCCCUUCAACGAAAACUCAAAAGCUUCGCAAUUUAAGAUCGCAAAGGCCUUUAGAUUAGGCAUACCAAAUUUGGUGUUGAUCUGAAUUAAUCUCUAGGAGGAGUUCGUUAAAAUACAACGCAUGGAAAUGACAAAAAUGACACAAAAUUUGCUCAUAAUAUUAGAAAUAACCGACUUCCUGUUGGGUUUCGGAUUUUGCUCCAAGAGACUUUUUUGUAGGUAUUGGAGAGUUACAUGUGUAUACCAAUUUUCAUACAUGUACAUGAAACUUAGCUCGAGACGCACACCGUUGAACGUGUAUAGGUGGCGCUGUUGAGCCAUUUUGCCACACCCACUUCUGAAUCCCAUAUCAGACGUAAAUUUUCGCCAGUUCUGAGGUGUGUGCAAAGUUUCAUGACUUUUCGAGCAUGUUUAGGCCCUCAAAAAUGCGAUUCAUCUUAGAGAAGAAUAAUAAUAAUAAUAAUAAUAAUAAUAAACGGAGCAAUUCCAAGAGGGUCCUCACACCAUCGGUGCUCGGGCCCUAAAUAUAGCUGCAAGCAGCGAUGGCGGGCUCAAGCCACCAAUGCCAUCGCCACCCCGGUGGCAUCAGGUAAACUGUGCCCAGCGGGCACAUGCAUUCACAAUAGCCCUCUGGCAGUGAGGUUUUAAAGGAUAUGGCAGUUAAAGGGUUAAUCCGAAUCAUCUAGACUUUAAAAUCACAUUCACAGAACAAUAUAUAUAUAUAACUUUAGUAACACUUUACAAUAAGAUUUCAUUUAUAAACAUGUUAACAUGAACAAUAUUUAUAUAGCAUUCAUUCAUGUCAGUUAAUAUUCCAAACUUAAACAUUAAAACAUUGUUUUAUUGUGAUUUUUUUCCAAGCACAUUUUACCAAUUCCAAACCAUAUCAAUCUUAAUAACUACCAUUAUUUUUUAUUUAAUCAUUUAUGAGUGCUAUACAAUAGUCCAGGAAAGCUGGAAGAGAAAAACUCCUUAUAUUCAUGUGUGCAGAAUUAUUAGGCAUGUUUUAUUUUACAGAUGAAAUGCGCUGAAAAUGAUAAAGCUAUGAAACUUACUGUGCUUCCUUCAAAUGAUGACUUCUACGUAUAUAAAAAAAUUAUGAAGAGUUGGAAUGAAAAAUGUUAAAGAUAUAGUAAAAUAACUAUUGUAUUUUUUUAUGUUACUUUAAUAAAUCGCUAUGGCCACACCAUUUAAGGUAUCCUAAACCCAUUCGCAAUUUAACAUCUUCAGUAUAUUGGCUUCAUGUUAAAAAAGUUUUGUGUGAACUACUUGUGUCUUCUUGGAAGAGAAUGAAUUCAUUUACAGGUUGAUUUUAUCAUAAAUCCACAAUAAAAUUUCUGAGUUCUGUAUCAAUCUGUGUUGUUGUUUGUUUAUUUUUAUUUUUUUUUAUUUUUCAUAGGAAGAAAACUGACCCUUUACUCUCCUUUUUAAUAAAUGUGCUUAUAAACCAAGAACAAGCUAUUUAUAGCUGUAUUUAUAAACUGCUUACUACUGACUAUUACUAUUGGGACAAAGCUUUAUAAAGCAUGAACUGACUAUUUACUAAUGAGUGCAGUUAUUAUAAAGUGUUAUCAAUGCAUUUGCUAAUGUUAACAAAUUAAACAUUAUUUUACAAUGUUAUCAAAUCCCUUAAAUGAUUUGUAAGUGUUUUGUAAUGAUUUUAUUGACCUACAAGCAUUUGUGAAAGUUCUGCUUGCAUUACAGCUUAGUCUUGAUCUGUGAGCUGAACAGAUUUACUGUUACAUCCAUGAGAUUAUGUAAAUUCAAAUAAAUAUCAUGUCACAGGAUGUCAGAGGUCAGUAUCAAAUUAGUUUGAAAUUAUUAUUUGCAGCAAAAAUAAGGUCAGAAAACUGUCAGAAAAGGAUAAGGCCUAAGAUUUCUAUGUGAGUGGCUAAAUUUAUUUGUUUUUAUAAUUAUAAUGCAUAAACUAUGAAAUUAUACAAAAUGUAUAAAAAAGUACAACAGUUAUUGUUUUCCAAUGUUUUUUAUUUAUUUUUUAUUUUUUAUUUUUUUGGAUUGACAUUUCAAAAAAUUAGCCUACUACAUUCAUUCUAAACAGCUUGAAUAAAACCUGUUAAUAUUUAUUAUAGACCACUGUAACUGUGUAUAAUCUAACAAACAAGUUUAUUAUGAAAAUAAAAGUGUGUACACCAGAUAAAUUGGACGAUAAAGAAAUUGCUAACAAUAGUAUAAUAGAGCAUGUUUUAGGUUUUUAGGCGUUUAGAUGCAGAAAUGGACAAAUCAAAUGUAAAAUAUAAUGUAAUUGAUCUAAUGAAAUAUAGAUUAAGUCUUGUUAGAGAAAAAUAAUAAAUAAAUACGUACACACAUUAAAAAAGCAGCCAAGAUGAAUGAGUUUAAUUUUUUAUAUAGAUUAAAAUUGAAGACAGAAGCAGGUAUAUGCGGUCACUUAAUAUUAAAAUCCAGUAGAUCCACUUCAGAUUUAUUUCUCAACAGUUUAUGUUCACGUGGCUGUUUUCGUUUAUAUUAGCCAAGCUAUUAUGUAUUUUGAAAUAAUCUUGUCCGUGAUGUGUUCGUUCUUACGACGAAAGUCUUGCGCACAUAAACGGGUCACAAACACCUGUAUUUAGCUCGUGUUGUGUUAUAAUGGGUGUAUUGUGUGCAUUUAUGCCAAUAAUUUAUUUUAAAAAGCUCUUAAACAAGAAUAAAUUCGUUAGUUUUGAACUUGUGACACUGUGCGCGCUGAUCGGAGGCAGUGAUUUCAGAUAGGCAGCCGCGAAUAUUUCAUUUUCACACAAACAGUUCAAAAACAUCUUAAUUUAGCUCUUGGUGUGUUCUGAUUGGUGAAUUGUGUGAUAUCGCUGCAAUACUUUAUUUUUAAUAGCUAUAAAACAAGAAUAAACUCGUUUUUUCUGAGCUCAUCAUUCCACACGCUCCUGCUCAGAGCGGUGAUUCAUCUCUCGUGUUUCUCACGUAUCACUGACCACACAUCGAUUAUUAAUGAACCCUGACCUGAUAAUAAUCAUAUAUGUUGGUUUAGCUUGUCAGUGUGAAUUAAAUCCAAGUAUUUAUUUGUAUGUUAACCGAUUUAAAAGUGAAACCAAAAGAGAGUCUCCUCCCUUUUUCAGAUGCCUUUUUUAGUCUGGUAACUGCACCUGUAGGGGCGCUAUUUCUCUCAGACAAUGGAAGUCUAAGCACACACACUCAAACAGAUGGAGUGAGAUGAGAUGUCUGACAGUUUUUUUAAUUUUAUGUUAUCCAUACAGUGUUGUAAAGUCAUGAAACUAUGCAUAUUUACUCAGAAUAAUUUUUUUUUCUGUAUGAAAAAAGGUUUUGAAGUGUUUGGAAUUUAAAAAUGCAGAAAAAUUAAUAAUUCCAUUUUUACUGUCAUUUAAAAAAAUCACCACGACAAAACCAUCCAAGCUAUCCAAAACCCAUUCACAAUUUAAGUUCCUCAAUGUUUUUUCAACAUGUAGACCAAGUUUGGUGUGUAUAGUGUUACUCUCCUCUGAGCAGUAUGCAUUAAUUCACAGCUAAAUGUAAAAAACAAUCCACAUUCAAAUCAAAAUAGCCGACUUCCUGUUGGUCGUAGAUGAUGACUGUGAAUGAGAAAGUUGUCCGUCUUGAUAAGAACAAUUUUUGUACUGAGUUUGGUGUCUGUAGCUAAAACUAACCCCCCCACUUUUGACAAAAGGUGGCGCUAUAGAGUGCCUCUUCCACGCCCUCUUAUGAACUUUUGCCAGUGUCUAGCUGUCACUAAUACUGAUAUGUGUUCUGAGUUUGAUGAAAUUCUAAGCAUGUUAUAUGCCUCAAAAUCACCUGAGAAGUAUUCCAGUUUGACAUGUUGCCAUGGCAACAAUAUUUUUAGAUAUCAAUAUCCUCCCAGCAGAUUUAUAUCGGCUGUGUUUUAACAUUAUUCUGAUGAAGUUUGAAGCAAAUCAAUAAAAAUAAGAUGCUGAAUUCAAAGCAUUUUGAAAAUGACACACUUCCUGCUGCCAGUUGGUGGCGCUAUAACUUUGACUCCUAAUAGUCACAUAUAUGCGAUCGACAUCAUACAAUGAAUAAUCUGAUGAAGUUUGAUUAAAAUUAGGAAAUGUAUGUGGAUGGUAUUAGACACUUCCUGUUUCUCAAUUCUCGCCAUAAAUUCAACGCCUCGCUACAAGCAAACCGUUCGAGAUAUCAAAAAUCCCCUGUCAAUUUUUCAUCCCCAAUGUCUUGAGAUCAUGUUGACUGAGUUUGGUGGCAAUCGAGUAAAAAACCUAUGACAAGUAUAUCAAAUUCCAGAGCAUGCGCUUUUUACAUAACUCUAAAUAGCUGACUUCCUGUUGGGCGGAGCCUAUGACAUGCAAUACGCAAGUUGUUCGGCACGAUGAGAUCUAUAUGUGUACUGAGUUUCCUAUUAAUACGUGCAAGUAUGUGUGAGCUAUACAACAAAAUUUCUGACUGUGUUCCAGGGGGCGCCGUAGAGCCCCUGUGCCACGCCCGGCUCCCAGCCUCUGCAGGCUCCUAAAGGCCACAGAUUCCAAAGUGUGUGCAAAUUUUCAAGAGUUUUUGAGUAUGUUAAGGACUCCAAAAGCCCCCACAACUUUGAUAACAAAUAUGAAUAAUAAACCCUAAAUAGCCAACUUCCUGUUGGGCGGAGCCUAUGAUAUGCAAUACGAAAGUUGUUUGUAUUGAUGAGUUCUAUACGUGUACCGAGUUUCGUACGUCUACGUACAAGUAUGUAUGAUAUAUGGCCCUCCAUAUUCCAGGGGGCGCUGUAGAGCCCCUGUGCCACGCCCGUGUAUCAGUCUCUGCCCGGCCCUAAUGGCCGCAGGUUCCAAUGUGUGUGCCAAUUUUCAAGACUUUUUAAGCAUGUUAAGGGCCCCAAAAGCCCCCGUAACGUUAAAAAAAAAAAAUAAAUAAAUAAAAAAAAAAAUAAUAAUAAUAAUAAAAAAUAAUCCUAAGGAAAACAAUAGGGCUCUCGCCCUCCAGGCUUGAGCCCUAAUAAAAAAACAAAGCAGAUACAAGAGGUUCCUCGCACCUCGGUGCUCGGGCCCUAAUUAAAGCUGCAAGCAGCGAUGAACGGGCCCUCGCACCCGGGCUCACCGGCAACGAGUGGCAUUAGUCAAAAGGUGAACGGUGAGAAAUAUGCAUUUGAAGUCAUAAAUAUAAAUGGAAUAUAUCAAAGUAUAUUCCAUAUACACUGCUCCAAUCUUCCUGUUGCCAGCAGGUGGCACUCUCAUUAUUAUGGAAUAUUGGCCUUCAGAUGUGUUCAGGCCAGGACUCUUAUCGAACAUGUGAGUUACAACAACUUCUCUUGCUAUGGCGAGACAUCAGAUUUUGUCAUGGCGCCAUGGACACGCUCUUUAACAAAAACUCAAGAUUACCACAAUUAAACAUUGGACAGGCCUUUAGAUUAGACUGACCACAAAAAAAAAAAAUACAUUAAUGUCAAAAAAUCUCUAGGAGUAGUUUGUCUCAGCGUAAAAUAUGUCACUUCCUGUUGCCAGCAGGUGGCGCAAUGGCUAUAACUGAAUAUGGGCAUGUAGAUUAUUAAGGGCAUAACACUUAUCUAACAUGUGAAGUUUGGGGCAGAUUGGACAUUGUAUGUCUGAGUUACAGCAACUUCCUUUUUCAUGGCGAAACAUCGAAAUUUGUCAGGCCGCCAUGGACACUCCCUUCAACGAAACCUCAAGCUUUUUUGAAAUCGAGCUUUUUUGCCACACCCGAUGGAAUAUUGGCCUUCAGAUCUGUUCAAGCCAGGACUCUUAUCACACAUGUGAAGUUUGGGCAAGAUCGGACAUUUUAUGCCUGAGUUAUAACAUCUUUUAUUCCCAUGGCGAGACAUCGAACUUCGUCAUGGCGCCAUGGACACGCCUUUUAACAAAAACUCAAGAUCUUUGCAAUUUAACAUCGCAAAGGCCUUUAGAUUAGGCAUACCAAAUUUUGUGUUGAUCUGAAUAAAUCUCUAGGAGGAGUUUGUUAAAAUACAACGCAUGGAAAUGACAAAAAUGACACAAAAUUUGCUCAUAAAAUUAAAAAUAACCGACUUCCUGUUGGGUUUAGAAUUUUGGUCCAAGAGUCUUUUUUGUAGGUAUUGGUGUGUUACAUGUGUGUGCCAAUUUUCAUGAAUGUACGUGAAACAUAGCUCAAGGCGCACACCGUUGAACGUCUAUAGGUGGCGCUGUCGAGCCAUUAUGUACAAUUAUAUUACUUGACCAUUGUACAAAAAAUGCUGACUGGGUCAUGAGGUCAGAAAAGAAGAAGAAAAAAACAGGUCAAGAAGAACUGACAAAAAGAAUUGCAAAAUAAUUAGGAAUUAAUGUGAAGAUUAAUUUUUUGUCAAUUCUGCAAGACAGACUUUCAGGAAAGGAGGUGGAAUAAAAAUGAGCUCCUAAAUCUCAAUCCCAGAUUCUGGAAGAUAUAUUCCUCAAACCAUCGGACAAGAGGAGGUGGUGCUGGUCCUUCACGAGUCACUCUAAUCUGUUCAUAAAGCCUAUAUAUAAAGUCUUAAUAUAUAGUAUUUCACAAUACUUCAUGAAUCAGGGUAUCUUCCGUCCAUUCCAAAUCCGUUUCAAAUUAAAAAACAGAAAACGAAAAACUCAAGAGGAUUCAAGUGAGAGAACAUGAAUUAAAUAAUGAGAAAUGGAAAGAUGGCUCGUUUAUUCGUUAUUCCAUCUAGGUUAACAAACGGAAAAUGAGUUUUUGACUUGAUUUCUCAUUUUGUCGUUUUGGGUUUAAAAAACGGCUUAUGGCUUCAAUAUUUCAUUCGCACUUGUGGGCGGAGCUGAAACGCUCCUUUCAUCUGAUUGGUCGGAUCGCUCCGCCUUCAACUCGAGCUUACAUUCUUUCAGAAUAAGAGUCUUAUAUGAGUAGUGUCUGAAACCACCGCUCACUGUUAAUUAACAUAAUAUUUGAGUCAGAUGUUGCUGCGCACAUAAUUCGUGCUGCUGUGACUUGCAAGUCACGCCUUUAAAUUAUUUCUAGGUUAUAGUAUUGUAUGAAUAUUGUCCCACUGUAAAUACAGUGCAAAUAGUUUUGUCUCCUUGGAUAAAAGUGAAGAGGAAAUAAAAAUCAAUAAUAGACUGAACAGUUCCAUGAUAAUAUGUCUGUAACAUUUACCACUCUCAUCUUUUAAGUCAAAAGGCACUAGGUAGGUGUGUGUGACAUUAAUAAUUAAU